UACGAAGGGUGCAAACGUUGCUCGGAAUUAUUGGGCGUAAAGCGCACGUAGGCGGCAUUGCAAGUCGGAUGUGAAAUCUUAUGGCUUAACCAUAAAAGUGCAUCCGAAACUGCAGUGCUUGAGUACUUAAGAGGAUCGCGGAAUUCCCGGUGUAGAGGUGAAAUUCGUAGAUAUCGGGAGGAACACCGGUGGCGAAGGCGGUGAUCUGGGCCGACACUGACGCUGUAGAGCGAAAGCGUGGGGAGCGAACAGG
RNAcentral lists this ribosomal RNA (253 nucleotides) under uncultured bacterium. RNAcentral's name for it is "partial 16S ribosomal RNA". It matches the Rfam family "Bacterial small subunit ribosomal RNA", at positions 524 to 776 of the family's 1533-position model. The record is from RNAcentral.